AAAAUUAUCCUUUGUUAUCCACUUUGAGCCUAUUUAGCUUUUAUUCUUUAACCGGAUGAUAGGGGGUGAUGUAGUAUAUGGGGAUCUCUGUGUGGUGAAUGUUCAUAAUGGGUCAUGAAAAAGAAGGGAUGAUUUUGUGUUACUAUUUACUCUUAUAAGCUCUAGAAAAGUUGUGAAAAGAAAAGAAAAAAAAUUGUUGAGAAAAAAAAAGAAAAAAGAAAAUAGAAAAAGAAAGAGAAAAAAGGUGUGAAGUCGAGUGUUUAUUGAGAAAUUUGUUAGAAAAUCGACUUUGUGUGUUGGAAAUAAGUGGAGAGCAUAAAAGAGUGUUUAGUUUUGUAUUGUGAUGUUUAAAUCCCUUGGUUUGUGAUGUUUAUGGAGGCGUUAUUAGGUGGAAGAUGGAAUUUAUUCCAUGCUUGAUAAGUGAAGUCAUAAGGUUGGUGUUCUUGAUCUAU
This 452-nucleotide long non-coding RNA is filed under the name Salvia miltiorrhiza (redroot sage). Its description in RNAcentral is "long non-coding RNA (SMIL_LNC011030)". Lineage: Eukaryota; Viridiplantae; Streptophyta; Magnoliopsida; Lamiales; Lamiaceae. The record is from RNAcentral.